RNAcentral lists this ribosomal RNA (207 nucleotides) under uncultured bacterium. RNAcentral's name for it is "partial 16S ribosomal RNA". It matches the Rfam family "Bacterial small subunit ribosomal RNA", at positions 568 to 774 of the family's 1533-position model. The record is from RNAcentral.
UUCGUAGGUGGCUUUCUAAGUCAGACGUGAAAUCCCUCAGCUUAACUGGGGAACUGCGUCUGAGACUGGCGAGCUUGAGUGCAGGAGAGGAACGCGGAAUUCCAGGUGUAGCGGUGAAAUGCGUAGAUAUCUGGAGGAACACCGGUGGCGAAGGCGGCGUUCUGGACUGUUACUGACACUGAGGAACGAAAGCCAGGGAGGCAAACG